UUGGUAGACUAGGCGAUCGCCGCUGUAUACUGGCAACAGUUGCACAGGGGAGGAAAGUCCGGGCUACAUAGGGCAGCGUGCCAGCUAACAGCUGGGCAGGGUAACUUGACGACCAGUGCAGCAGAGAGUAGACCGCCUCGUCUAACGAGGUAAGGGUGAAAGGGUGCGGUAAGAGCGCACCGCGUGAAUGGCAACAUCUCACGGCAUGGUAAACUCCACGCGUAGCAAGACCAAAUAGGCAUCGGCAUGGCGCGGCCCGCGUUCGAUGCGGGUAGGUUGCUUGAGCAUAUUAGCAAUGAUAUGCCUAGAGGAAUGAUCGUCCACGACAGAACCCGGCUUAUCGGUUUACCAAUUUC
Molecule: RNase P RNA, 356 nt
Filed under: Psychrobacter sp.
Lineage: Bacteria; Pseudomonadati; Pseudomonadota; Gammaproteobacteria; Moraxellales; Moraxellaceae
Also listed under: 1 other name
Description: RNase P RNA component class A
Rfam family: Bacterial RNase P class A
About the family: Ribonuclease P (RNase P) is a ubiquitous endoribonuclease, found in archaea, bacteria and eukarya as well as chloroplasts and mitochondria.
Source: RNAcentral